UCUAUUGUUCUGUUUGAAAUUUUCAAGAUGGAUCCUAACUAACAAGGCCAAAGAAUUAAACAGAUUUGCUAUUCUACCAAAAAACAAACAAAACCAUUUCGGCAUGGAUAAUAACAAACGGACUAAAUUGGCCUUAUUCAUUUGUCAAUUAAUUGUUUUCUCUGUCCAUAUCAAGUCACAAAUUAAUCACUAAAUGUUGAUCAUACACCAUCACACAGUCUUUGUAGACAUCAAAGAAUCUUUAACCAAACCAAAAGAAUCAAUAGAAAUACAAUACCACAGCCAUUACCUAUCUUAUUCGAAUGUAAACAAAUAAGAUGCACAGGUUAUAAAAUACUAUGUAAACAAUAGUAGUAGCUUUUAGUUCCGAUAUUUCUUCCUCCCUCUCAAGAAGUUGUUCCCGUGCUGCGUUUAGUUCUUUCGUUAACGUGGCGAAUUCCUGGGGGUUAAAUUAAUUAAUGUUAAUUAUCUUAUAAAAGCGUACCCUACCGCCAAUAUAUGCAAGCAAACAUACGAGUAAUACUAUAAUAAACAGACUAAACUUCCAACAAGAAAAUACAAAAUUAAAAACGAACGUUAUUAAGCCUGAAAAAGAAAGAAAAAAAAAAGAUGAAAGAGAGAGACAGAUAGGUGAACUGAGCGUUAUUAACGAAUUAAGACCAAAAAAUUGGAAAAAAUCCAAAGGUAAAUGACCGCAACAACCCGAUAAAAUUACAUACAGGAGUUUGCAAAAUUAAUCCAACCGUUUAAGAAAAUCUAACAAUAGUUUCUCUCGCUGCACUCAGCAUAUACGCUUUCGUCUAUAUAAAACAAUGCAUAUCAUCUUUUCUAUUUCCCUCGUUAUUUUUGAUGAAUUUGAAGAGUCUACUUGCUUAUGGAUAACAAUAGCUAAGGUCGAGUAAUAUAGAACGUGAUAAACGCGAUACUUGCAGCUCUUCUUUCAAUUACGAGCAAGAAUGACAAAAAAUAAAAUCGAUUACGGAUGUAUACAGGAUUCCUUACACAUAUAGUACAUGUACACACACACAGACACGCCUCUACUCAUCUUGCUUUAAGGGACUUUUAUUAAAGUCAAAUCGAAACAAAGUAUGUGAAGCAGAAGAAAAAAUGUAACUAGCAAAAGUUUGAUUUUUCUUUUUCUAUUAAAUGUCUAAUAAUGA
Molecule: long non-coding RNA, 1160 nt
Organism: Agrilus planipennis (emerald ash borer)
Lineage: Eukaryota; Metazoa; Arthropoda; Insecta; Coleoptera; Buprestidae
Exons: 4
Source: RefSeq, a predicted model, not a curated record